GCGGAAGUGGUAUUAGGCUGCUGAGAGUGGGACAGAGUGUUUCCGGCUGGGACACGAAUAGCAGUGAUGCUAGCUGAUCAGAAAGACUGGUUCACUCUGAAGCAGCACAGUGAGAGCCAAGCACCUCUGACUUUUUUUCCCUGAUAAAUCUGACUCCUUUUCCCAGCCAACAGCACUUGGAGGUGUUGCCUUCUUCCCCAGCAUCUCCUUGUUCAAAACAUGGAUCAUAAUGUCCGCUUUGUGAAGGGUUUCCUGAAUUUCAGAAGAAAACAGCUCUGUUGAUGUUAAAAGAUGGUAGAUGAGAUACCAUGGAUGAAGAAGAUAUAAAAACCCUAGCAAACCCUAGCAGGUGUAGAAAAAAGGUCUUGUGUAAGACCUGUAGGAGUGUGCAAUGUGUGCUGUGGCUGCAGGACAGAGGAUGGUGCAACCCUUUGAAGAAUGCUUUCCAACAGUGCUUCCCGUGAAAACCAGUGGAGGCCUCAGCAGAAGGAGGAUUGGACCCUGAAC
Molecule: long non-coding RNA, 507 nt
Filed under: Anser brachyrhynchus (Pink-footed goose)
Lineage: Eukaryota; Metazoa; Chordata; Aves; Anseriformes; Anatidae
Description: lncRNA (ENSABRG00000003568.1)
Source: RNAcentral